GACGAACGCUGGCGGCGUGCUUAACACAUGCAAGUCGAACGGAAAGGCCCUGCUUUUGUGGGGUGCUCGAGUGCCGAACGGGUGAGUAAAACGUGAGUAACCUGCCCUUGACUUUGGGAUAACUUCAGGAAACUCGGGCUAAUACCGGAUAGGAGCUCCUGCUGCAUGUUGGGGGUUGGAAAGUUUCGGCGGUUGGGGCUGGACUCGAGGCUUAUCAGCUUGUUGGUGGGGUAGUGGAGUACCAAGGCUUUGACGGAUAGCCGGCCUGAGAGGGGGACCGGCGACAUUGGUACUGAGAUACGGCCCAGACGCCAACGGGAGGCAGAAGUGGGGAAUAUUGCACAGUGGGGGGAAGUCAGUUGCGGCAACGCCGCGAUCGGAAUGACGUGCUACUGGUUAUAAACAGAUGUCGCAUGAGACGUAGAGUUAGUGACGGUAAUGGAUAAAAAAGCACCGGCUAACUACGUG
RNAcentral lists this ribosomal RNA (468 nucleotides) under uncultured bacterium. Its description in RNAcentral is "partial 16S ribosomal RNA". It matches the Rfam family "Bacterial small subunit ribosomal RNA", at positions 28 to 507 of the family's 1533-position model. The record is from RNAcentral.